This 103-nucleotide ribosomal RNA is filed under the name Bacillus anthracis (anthrax bacterium). Its description in RNAcentral is "partial 16S ribosomal RNA". It matches the Rfam family "Bacterial small subunit ribosomal RNA", at positions 1 to 98 of the family's 1533-position model. Lineage: Bacteria; Bacillati; Bacillota; Bacilli; Caryophanales; Bacillaceae. The record is from RNAcentral. RNAcentral also lists the same sequence under 9 other names.
UUAUUGGAGAGUUUGAUCCUGGCUCAGGAUGAACGCUGGCGGCGUGCCUAAUACAUGCAAGUCGAGCGAAUGGAUUAAGAGCUUGCUCUUAUGAAGUUAGCGG